Molecule: ribosomal RNA, 2890 nt
Filed under: Acinetobacter baumannii
Lineage: Bacteria; Pseudomonadati; Pseudomonadota; Gammaproteobacteria; Moraxellales; Moraxellaceae
Description: 23S ribosomal RNA
Rfam family: Bacterial large subunit ribosomal RNA
Source: RNAcentral
UCAAGUAAUUAAGUGCAUGUGGUGGAUGCCUUGGCAGUCAGAGGCGAUGAAAGACGUGAUAGCCUGCGAAAAGCUCCGGGGAGGCGGCAAAUAUCCUUUGAUCCGGAGAUGUCUGAAUGGGGAAACCCACCUACUUUAAGGUAGGUAUUGCAACAUGAAUACAUAGUGUUGCAAGGCGAACGAGGGGAAGUGAAACAUCUCAGUACCCUUAGGAAAAGAAAUCAAUUGAGAUUCCCUCAGUAGCGGCGAGCGAACGGGGAUCAGCCCAUUAAGUUAUGUGUGUUUUAGUGGAACGCUCUGGGAAGUGCGAACGUAGAGGGUGAUAUUCCCGUACACGAAAGGGCACACAUAAUGAUGACGAGUAGGGCGAGGCACGUGAAACCUUGUCUGAAUAUGGGGGACCAUCCUCCAAGGCUAAAUACUCCUGACUGACCGAUAGUGAACCAGUACCGUGAGGGAAAGGCGAAAAGAACCCCUGUGAGGGGAGUGAAAUAGAUCCUGAAACCGCAUGCAUACAAGCAGUGGGAGCACCUUCGUGGUGUGACUGCGUACCUUUUGUAUAAUGGGUCAGCGACUUAUAUUCAGUAGCAAGGUUAACCGUAUAGGGGAGCCGUAGAGAAAUCGAGUCUUAAUAGGGCGUUUAGUUGCUGGGUAUAGACCCGAAACCAGGCGAUCUAUCCAUGAGCAGGUUGAAGGUUGGGUAACACUAACUGGAGGACCGAACCCACUGUCGUUGAAAAGCCAGGGGAUGACUUGUGGAUAGGGGUGAAAGGCUAAUCAAGCCUGGUGAUAGCUGGUUCUCCCCGAAAGCUAUUUAGGUAGCGCCUCGGACGAAUACCAUAGGGGGUAGAGCACUGUUUCGGCUAGGGGGUCAUCCCGACUUACCAAACCGAUGCAAACUCCGAAUACCUAUGAGUACUAUCCGGGAGACAGACUGCGGGUGCUAACGUCCGUAGUCAAGAGGAAAACAAUCCAGACCGCCAGCUAAGGCCCCAAAAUCAUAGUUAAGUGGGAAACGAUGUGGGAAGGCAUAGACAGCUAGGAGGUUGGCUUAGAAGCAGCCACCCUUUAAAGAAAGCGUAAUAGCUCACUAGUCGAGUCGGCCUGCGCGGAAGAUGUAACGGGGCUAAAACUAUGUGCCGAAGCUGCGGAUGUAUACUUUGUAUACGUGGUAGGGGAGCGUUCUGUAAGCCGAUGAAGGUGUGUUGAGAAGCAUGCUGGAGGUAUCAGAAGUGCGAAUGCUGACGUGAGUAACGACAAAACGGGUGAAAAACCCGUUCGCCGAAAGACCAAGGGUUCCAGUCCAACGUUAAUCGGGGCUGGGUGAGUCGACCCCUAAGGCGAGGCCGAAAGGCGUAGUCGAUGGGAAAAUGGUUAAUAUUCCAUUACUUCUGUGUAAUGCGAUGAGAGGACGGAGAAGGCUAAAUCAGCCUGGCGUUGGUUGUCCAGGUGAAAGGAUGUAGGCAUGUAUCUUAGGCAAAUCCGGGGUACUCUAUGCUGAGAUCUGAUAGCAAGCUGUACUUGUACAGCGAAGUGGUUGAUGCCAUGCUUCCAGGAAAAGUCUCUAAGCUUCAGUUACACAGGAAUCGUACCCGAAACCGACACAGGUGGUCAGGUCGAGUAGACCAAGGCGCUUGAGAGAACUCUGCUGAAGGAACUAGGCAAAAUGGUACCGUAACUUCGGGAGAAGGUACGCUGUUGUUGGUGAUGGAACUCGCUUCCUGAGCUGACGACAGCCGCAGAAACCAGGCCGCUGCAACUGUUUAUUAAAAACAUAGCACUCUGCAAACACGAAAGUGGACGUAUAGGGUGUGAUGCCUGCCCGGUGCUGGAAGGUUAAUUGAUGGGGUUAGCGUAAGCGAAGCUCUUGAUCGAAGCCCCAGUAAACGGCGGCCGUAACUAUAACGGUCCUAAGGUAGCGAAAUUCCUUGUCGGGUAAGUUCCGACCUGCACGAAUGGCAUAAUGAUGGCGGCGCUGUCUCCAGCAGAGGCUCAGUGAAAUCGAAAUCGCUGUGAAGAUGCAGUGUACCCGCGGCUAGACGGAAAGACCCCGUGAACCUUUACUGCAGCUUGACACUGAACUUUGACCUUACUUGUGUAGGAUAGGUGGGAGGCUUUGAAGCUGGAACGCUAGUUCCAGUGGAGCCGUCCUUGAAAUACCACCCUGGUAAUGUUGAGGUUCUAACUCUGUCCCGUGAUCCGGGACGAGGACCGUGUCUGGUGGGUAGUUUGACUGGGGCGGUCUCCUCCUAAAGAGUAACGGAGGAGUACGAAGGUGCGCUCAGCGUGGUCGGAAAUCACGCGUAGAGUAUAAAGGCAAAAGCGCGCUUAACUGCGAGACCCACAAGUCGAGCAGGUACGAAAGUAGGUCUUAGUGAUCCGGUGGUUCUGUAUGGAAGGGCCAUCGCUCAACGGAUAAAAGGUACUCUGGGGAUAACAGGCUGAUACCGCCCAAGAGUUCAUAUCGACGGCGGUGUUUGGCACCUCGAUGUCGGCUCAUCUCAUCCUGGGGCUGAAGCAGGUCCCAAGGGUAUGGCUGUUCGCCAUUUAAAGAGGUACGCGAGCUGGGUUUAGAACGUCGUGAGACAGUUCGGUCCCUAUCUACCGUGGGCGCUGGAAAUUUGAGAGGAUCUGCUCCUAGUACGAGAGGACCAGAGUGGACGAACCUCUGGUGUACCGGUUGUGACGCCAGUCGCAUCGCCGGGUAGCUAUGUUCGGAAGGGAUAACCGCUGAAAGCAUCUAAGCGGGAAGCCUACCUCAAGAUAAGAUUUCCCUAGGACUUUAUGUCCUCUAAAGAGCCGUUCGAGACUAGGACGUUGAUAGGUUGGAUGUGGAAGCAUAGUGAUAUGUGAAGCUGACCAAUACUAAUUGCUCGUGAGGCUUGACUAU